AAUGAAGAUGACGGAGUUAAUGCAACGUUAAAGUUAGGGGUUAAAUUGUUUGAUUUUAUCCACCAUAGGGGCUUAUUUGAUACACCCCUUGCCAUAAGGGGUUCAAUGCCAUAGGGGCCUCUACCAUAGGGGCUAAUCUGAUACUUAACCCUAAACUAAAUACCCCUCAAUUUCAAAAUCAGAUUUAAAUCUAGGGUUUCAAGUUUCACUCUGAGUUUCUGUUUCUCCGGUGAAUCUCGCUGUCGCCGCCGCCGCUGCUAGACCGUCCCUCAUGCCCUCUGUUCUUGUCGUUUCAGGUAUUUCUCUUACUUGUUCUCUCUCCCUCUGCCCUCUACUCUUCCUCUCCCGAUCUCCCUCUGCCCUCUGCUCUCGUUCGCGGCGACUGCCGCGAAUCGCCGCUGCGUAUGCAGCGCUGGCGGUCGCCGCCACCGCCGGCGAGAGCUAUGGCGGGAGAGAGAUUUACUGAUGAUUUGUGCCCUAGCAAUGGUGUCCUCGUCGCUGCUUCUGCCGAAAUCUGGCGGCAACUCGGAGGGGGACGCGCUCCACGCGAACCGCCGCGGCUCGAAAAUGAAGGACAAUUGAUUGUUCUUCCGCAAGAUGUCGUGGCAGCUCACGUUCCUGCGAGUGAUGCUCAAUAUUUCUAAUCCUACUCAUUACUUUAUUGUUUAAUUUUGGCAUAAAUCCUUACUAUGAUUGCUGAUCAUAUGAGAAUUCUCAGCUUUGGACGCAACAAAAAUUGGUCUAAAUAUGGGAAUUUGAACAUAUAAACGUAAUUCACACACUGAGAAAUUAAGUGGAUAUAAAGUUUGGUAUUUUUGUGUGGUUUUCUUGAAUACCUAGCCAUAGAUAGAUGUAUUCAUUUCCAACCAAGUGUAGUUGUCUAGUUGAAUUGAUAUGAUGCUUUUUCUAUAGCCAAUUGAUUGGAGGUUUGAGUCACUACAUGAGAAAUUGAGAAUUCUUAUUUUUCCUUUGAAAAAAAAUACUUCUAAGCUUCAAUCUUCUUAUAAUCAAAUUUCGAGUAGUUCGCAUGACAGUGGAUAUAACACAUAUUUUUAUAUAAUAUGCAUUGUAUUUUUAUAUAUGUAUGUAUGUAUGUAUGUAUGUAUAUAAUGUGUGUGUCAGUGUGAGAUUCAGAGAAGUAGGAUUAGAAUCAGCAACAGCCGUAUAUCAAUCCUGGAUUGAUUGCUCUUUCAGGAUUGACUUGCCCUGCUCCAGUUGCAAAUAGGUCAACAGGCUUAUAUCCAUCCAUUAUUGGUUUUCCUUGAUGAUCAUGUUUAUCUGUAGCUUUCUUGUUUACCUCUACAUUGCUAGAUCAUUUGCUAAUUGACUUGAAAUAACAAUAGUCUACCCUGCUGCAAAGAGAGUUUGGAGUAAAUUUGGACUGUUGUUUGUGUUAAGGCGGGGAAUCAUGUGGAGUUUUUAUGCCGCUUGAAGGAGUUGAUGUCAAGGUUGCAAAUAAUGAGAAACGUGGCAGUAUUCCACUCAAAACAAUACCUGAAGCUGAGUUUCUAAAGUAUAUUAGAGCAGCUAAAUGUGUGCAGGACAUACCCAUGUCGCUGAAGCAUUGAAAGUAUCAAUUCAUAUACUCCCUCCGUCCCACUCCAAUAGGCUCGUUUUCCUUUUUGGGACGUCCCACUCCAAUAGGCCCAGUCUAAAUUUAGAAAUAAUUAGAGACUUCUUAAUUCUUAAUUAAGAAAAGAUAUACACCUUUAAUUUGAAACCCAAAUUUUCAUUUUUCAUUUUAACUUCAUUCCUCCCCAUUCUCUCUCUAGCUUUCCCUCCCCUCUUCAAUUUCCGGCACCAUCUCCUUCGACUUCAGCGACGACCAGUCCUCCGCCGCCGUCAAGCUCACCACCAACUCUCGUAUCUUCCACAACACCACAAUCGAGAUCUUCUACGAUCUCUCCGCGGCCCGCUACAAGGCCGACCCGGAGCCCCUCAACAGCUACUACGGCUACUGCCGCCGACUCUCCAGAACUCCGGCGACACAGUCCCCAGGCCGCACCUCCGUCAUUCCUUGCCAGCCGCCGCCGCCAAUCGUUCCUUGCCAGCCGCCGCCAAGCCCUAGGUACCCAAAUUCCUAGAUCUUUAAAUUGCGGCCACCUCCUCCUCCUCAAUUUCCGGCGACAGCACCACAAGAUGAACAACGAUUUUGCGACGUUAUCCCUCUGUUCUCUGUUCUAAGGGUUUUGAACAGCAAUCUUGCGACCAUAUCUGAACUUAAAAUCAAUGAAUUUUUUGGUAACAUGGAUUUAGAUCUCCCUAAAUCAAUGAAUUUUUUCCCCAUUUUCCACAAGAUGUUUGCUGACGCCGCCGACUUGAAUUUUGAAAAGCGAUUUUGCUUAGUGUGAUUUAUGUUGAGGUUUGCAGAUUUUUCUUAGUAUGCUCUAUGUUGAGGUUUCGAACAGUGAUGUUUGUUGAUUAGUGUGAUUUUGCUCAAUUUAAUUGUAAGGUAAAUGUCUGCUUAAAUGCUUAAUUAAUGUAGAUUCCACCCUUUUUUCUUCAAAAAACCAAGUUUCUUAAUCUCCGUGCCGAAAAGAACUGAGCCUAUUAAGCCGGGACGGAGGGAGUAUUUUUCACAAUGCCUUGGACGUAAGUAUUGUCUAUAUUGUUUUGAGUCAUGGAGAGAUGACAUGGUAUUUAUUGAUUUUUGUUGGUUAAUGUAAAAUAUCCUCUGUUCUUUUCUUGUCAACCCCCCGAGGCAAAGAAUACAGGGUAAAUAGUGUGAUGAACUUCAUAUUUCUCUAGUCCUUUCAAAUUUUACUAAUUUAAUUACUUAAAGAAGAACUUAUAAUAGGAGAGUUUAGUGUGAUUUCCCAUGGUUCUGCAUGGAAGCUUAUAGUAAUUUAUAAGCUAGGUUAGAGUUUAGUGUAAUUUAUAAGCAAUGUUAUAUAUACACAGCAGGUAUAUAAUUCACUAUACAAACUUGUUUUUUCUAUGCUCUUAGAUUUUGUUCCUGGAAAGGUGAAGGCUGAGGAAGCUUUACCACAAGUAGUAGAGGCUGAGAAAUAAUAAGGAUUGAUCAUACAUUUGCUGAGUGGCUUGAAGAAUUUCAAAAGAUCACAUUGUGAUUAUAUAUUUUUUUUGUUAAUUUUGUUCUAUUUUGACUCUAGAUAGAACUAUUGUACUUGACAUUUUUUAUUAUCUUCGAAUGAUAAUUUUCGUACAAUAAUUAAUUAUUUAUAUAAUAUAUAUUUUGGAUUGUCCUA
RNA transcript from Salvia miltiorrhiza (redroot sage), 3209 nucleotides. RefSeq lists it as uncharacterized. The record is from RefSeq and is a predicted model, not a curated record. Lineage: Eukaryota; Viridiplantae; Streptophyta; Magnoliopsida; Lamiales; Lamiaceae. The transcript has 3 exons.